Molecule: RNA transcript, 3695 nt
Organism: Carlito syrichta (Philippine tarsier)
Lineage: Eukaryota; Metazoa; Chordata; Mammalia; Primates; Tarsiidae
Gene name: atrophin-1 pseudogene
Exons: 1
Source: RefSeq, a predicted model, not a curated record
CUGCAAGCUCCAGGGACCUACACCGGAAACUUGGAGAUCCUGCUUCCUGCUUCUCGGGCCUCAGCUGUGGGAAACUUGGGGUAGAGCAGAGGCGUUUCUGUAUUCAACUGCCCAGGCAGAGGAGAAUGGGGUCUCCACAGCCUGAAGAAUGAAGACACGACAGAAUAAAGACUCAAUGUCAGUGAGGAGUGGACGGAAGAAAGAGGCCCUGGGCCCCGGGGAAGAGCUGAGAUCGAGGGGGCGGGCCUCCCCUGGAGGGUCAGCACGUCCAGCAGCGAUGGCAAAGCCGAGAAGUCCAGGCAGACGACCAAGAAGGCCUGAGUAGAGGAAGCCUCCACCCCAAAGGUUAGUAAGCAGCUCCAGAGUGAAGAGAUCUCGGAAAGUGAAAGUGAGGAGACCAGUGCACCCAAGAAGCCCCAAACUGAGCAGGAGCUCCCCCGGCUGCAGUCUCCCUUGGACCUGGACAGCUUGGAUGGGCGGAGCCUCAACGAUGAUGGCAGCAGUGACCCCAGGGAUAUCGACCAGGACAACCGGAGCAGGCCCCCUAGCAUCUACAGCCCUGGCAGCAUGGAAAAUGACUCCGACUUCUCUUCUGGCCGGUCCCAGAGCCCAGCCCGCCCUGCCACCCACAUCCGCUGUUUCCUCCCUCCCCUCCACCGCCAGACAGCACCCCUCGACAGCCAGAGCCUGGCUUUGAACCCCUCCUCCUGUGACGCCCACUGGAUAUCAUGCUCCCAUGGAGCCCUCCGCGCCUUGAUGGUUCCAGGCUCCGCCUGGAGCCCCUCACCCUCACCCGCAGAUCUACCCUGGGGGGUGGGGGGAGGAGCAGUGGAGGAGUUUUGUCCAGGAGCCCCAGUAGGUUCCAGGGCAGGAGGGGCUGCCUCAUCAGUGGGGGUCCCUGGGGGGGAGGUAAACAGCACCCUCCGCCCACUACCCCCAUUUCAAUACCAAGCUCUGGGGCUGGUAGCACUCCCCCAACAAAGCCACCGAACACUCCAGUGGGUGGCGGGAGGCUGCCCUCUGCUCCACCACCAGUCACCUUCCCCCAUCUGACACCGAACCUGCCUCCCCUGCCUGUCCUGAGACACCUUAACAACACGUCAGCUUCUCCUCCUGACCUGGGGGUCUAGUCGCUACCUGGGCAUCAGCCCUCUCCCCAUGCCAUGGGGCAGGCUAUGGGCUGACUUUCUCCCGGCCCAGCGAAGGACCCGACUCUGGUCCCCUCGCUCCACCCUCUGCCCCCCGCUUCCUCCUCUUCUACCCCAGCGCCCCCAUGACGUAUCCCUAUUCAUCCUCUAGCAGUAGCUCUGCGGCUGCCUCCUCUUCCAGUGCUGCCUCCUCUUUCAGCGCCACUGCCGCCGCCGCCGCCACCGCCGCCGCUGCCCAGUACCCAGCUUCCCAGGUGCUGCCCAGUUAUCCUCACCCUUUCCCUCCCCCAGAAAACCUCUCCGUCUCCAACCAGCCCCCCAAGUACACCCAGCCUUCUCUCCUGCCCCAGGCAGUGUGGAACCAGGGUCCCACUCAGCCUCCUCCGUAUGACCGCCCCUUGGUCAACAGCAAUGCCCACCCUGAUCCCCCCCCUCCUGCUGGGGGCCAGGCCAGUGCCCACCCGCCAGCCCCAACACACCACCACCAGCAGCAGCAGCAGCAGCGGCAUUACGGGACCUCUGGGGUCCCGCCCGGAGCGUUUCCCCACCCUUUGAAGAGCAGUGGCUCCCACCAUGCGCACCCCUAUGUCAUGUCGCCCUCCUUGGGGUCUCUGAGGCCCUACCCGCCCGAGCCAGCACACCUGCCCCCGCCGCACGGCCAGGUGUCCUACAGCCAAGCCAGCCCCGGCGGCCCUCCGCCCUCUUCCUCUUCCAACUCGUCGUCCUCCUCCUCUCAAGGGUCCUACCCCUGCUCGCACCCAUCCCCUUCCCAGGGUCCCCAAGGGGCGCCCUACCCCUUCCCGCCAGUGCCCAUGGUCACCACCUCCUCGGCCAUCUUCUCCACGGUCAUCACCACCGUCGCCUCCUCGCCUGUAGGCUACAAGACGGCCUUGCCGCCCAGGCCCCUGCCGCACGCGAAGCGAGCCCCGUCCCCGGGACCUACAAGACGGCCACCCCGCCCAGGUACAAGCCGGGCUCUCCCCCCGCCUUCCGGACAGGGACCCUGCCGGGCUACCGAGGUGCCUCGCCGCCCGCCGGCCCAGAGACCUUCGAGCCGGCUCGCCCGCCGCGGGCGCGGGGCCGCUGCCGCCGGCGGGGCACCCCUGCCUGCCCUACCUGCCGCCGCUGCCCGCGGUCCCAGGUGGUCCGGCCCUGAGCGCCGCGCAGAUCAAGCAGGAGCCGGCCCAGGAGAACCAGGCGCCCGAGAGCCCGGCGCCCCCGGCGCGCAGCACCUCGCCCUCGCACAAGGUAAUGGACGUGCCCAGCCACGCCGGCCAGUCGGUCAGGUUCAACAAGCACCUGGACCGCGGCUUGCACCCGUCUGCGCGCAGCGACCCGUACUGCGUGCCGCUGGAGGGCUCCAAGCUGGCCAAGAAGCGCCGACCUGCUGGAGAAGGUGCGGCGCGAGGCCGAGCAGCACGCGCGGGAGGAGAAGGAGCGCGAGGGCGAGUGGGGGCGCGAGCAGGAGCGCGAGCUGGAGCGCAGCGUGAAGCUGGCUCAGGAGGGCCGCGCUCCCGUGGAGUCAGUCCCUGGGCCCCGUGCCCCACCACCCUCCGUUGUGCCGGGCAGUGCGGUGGUUACAGCGCCCCCCUACCUGGGGCCUGACACCCCGGCCUUGGUACUGGUACCCUCAGCGAGUACGCCGGCCUCACGUCAUGUCUCCCGGCAACCGCAACCACCCCUUCUACGUGCUCCUGGGCGCGGUGGACCCGGGGCUCCUGGGCUACAACGUCCGGGCCCUGUACAGCACCGACCCGGCUGCCAGAGAGAGGGAGCGGGAAGCCGGGGAACGAGAACUCCGCGACCGCCUCAAGCCGGCUUCGAGCUGAAGCCCAGCGAGCUGCAGUCCCUGCGCGGGGUCCCCGGGGCGGGCCUGGAUCCCUUCCCGCAACACGGGAGCCUGACCCCGCAGCCUGGCCAGCCCGACCUACACCCUUUCCCCUUCCACGCGAGCCUGGGGCCCCUGGAGCGAGAGCGGCUGGUGCUGGUGGCCGGGCCAGCCCUGCGUCCCGACAUGUCCUACGCGGAGCGGCUGGCGGCCGAGCGGCAGCACGCGGAAAGGGUGGCACCCCUGGGCAACCACCAGCUGGCGUGACUGCAGAUACUCAACUUGACCCCCUCCCCCCUCCCCCAGCACUCGCACAUCCACUGGCACCUGCACCUGCACCAGCAGGACGCCACCCAUGCAGCCUCUGCCUCGGUGCACCCUCUCGUUGACCCCCUGGCCUCGGGGUCUCACCUUACCCGGAACCCCCACCCAGCUGGGACCCUCCCUAACCCCCUUCUUCCUCACCCUCUGCAGGAGAACGAAGUUCUUCGUCACCAGCUCUUUGCUGCCCCCUACCGGGACCUGCCGGCAUCGCUCUCCACCCGAUGUCCGUGGCGCCCCAGCUGCAGGCCUUGCACGCGCGGUCAGGGGAGCUGCAGCCCCUGGCGCCGGAGCAGCAGCAGUGGCUGCACGCCCACCACCCGCUGCACAGCGUGUCGCUGCUCGCCCAGGAGGACUACUACAGUCACCUGUAGAAGGAGAGCGAAAAGCCGCUGUAG